GGGCCGGUGACGGAACAGGCAGACGUGCAACACUUAAAAUGUUGUGUCCUGACGGACGUGGGGGUUCGAUCCCCCCCCGGCCUA
RNAcentral lists this transfer RNA (84 nucleotides) under Thermoflexales bacterium. Its description in RNAcentral is "tRNA-Leu". It matches the Rfam family "tRNA". Rfam says of the family: Transfer RNA (tRNA) molecules are approximately 80 nucleotides in length. Their secondary structure includes four short double-helical elements and three loops (D, anti-codon, and T loops). Lineage: Bacteria; Bacillati; Chloroflexota; Thermoflexia; Thermoflexales. The record is from RNAcentral.